GACGAACGCUGGCGGCGUGCUUAAUACAUGCGAGUCGAACGGAAAGGCCCUGCUUUUGUGGGGUGCUUGAGUGGCGAACGGGUGAGUAACACGUGAGUAACCUGCCCUUGACUUUGGGAUAACUUCAGGAAACUGGGGCUAAUACCGGAUAGGAGCUCCUGCUGCAUGGUGUGGGUUGGAAAGUUUCGGCGGUUGGGGAUGGACUCGCGGCUUAUCAGCUUGUUGGUGGGGUAGUGGCUUACCAAGGCUUUGACGGGUAGCCGGCCUGAGAGGGUGACCGGCCACAUUGGGACUGAGAUACGGCCCAGACUCCUACGGGAGGCAGCAGUGGGGAAUAUUGCACAAUGGGCGGAAGCCUGAUGCAGCAACGCCGCGUGCGGGAUGACGGCCUUCGGGUUGUAAACCGCUUUCGCCUGUGACGAAGCGUGAGUGACGGUAAUGGGUAAAGAAGCACCGGCUAACUACGUG
This 468-nucleotide ribosomal RNA is filed under the name uncultured bacterium. RNAcentral's name for it is "partial 16S ribosomal RNA". It matches the Rfam family "Bacterial small subunit ribosomal RNA", at positions 28 to 507 of the family's 1533-position model. The record is from RNAcentral.